Long non-coding RNA from Topomyia yanbarensis, 440 nucleotides. RefSeq lists it as uncharacterized. Lineage: Eukaryota; Metazoa; Arthropoda; Insecta; Diptera; Culicidae. The record is from RefSeq and is a predicted model, not a curated record. The transcript is spliced from 3 exons.
UAACCGUUUGGUACUAAAAAGCAUUGCUUUCUUCCUAUUAUUUACCGAUUCCAUCAGUGGGUUCUAUUACCCCCCAGCAUUGGUUACCGAAAAAGUUACCGAUUAUCAGGAGUUUGUCAAAAAUGUUACUGAAACCAGUAUUGCACUCCAUAUACUCGAACACACUGUUACACCGUACGAUGUGAAUCCCGACCAGUUAAAGCUCAUAGGACGGUAUGUUUUCCUCGCACCGCAGGAAAAUAACAUCUAUUUGGUGGGGUUCGAGGAAACAAUCGACAAAUCCGAUGCAGCGAAAAGGAUCAUCAGUGAGUUGGUUAGCAAAAAUUCGGUUACAAGCAUCUACAAAACUCAACGUGCGAAUGCUUUGAAGGUGGAAAAAUUCCUCACGAUUGGAUAAAAGUCUCUAAAAUAGUAACAAAACAAAAUGAAAUAUAUGUUCU